GGCGGCGACGAGAUGAGGGGCUCCCAAGACCAUACGGAAGGAGCUUACUUUAAAGCAAAACAACACUGAGCCGUGCAGAUGAGGAUUAAAGUCAGAGUCUUGCACAUGAAGGAAUCCACCACCAUCGUCAUCAUCCUCAUCAUCAUCAUCGUCCUCCUCACUGUCAGAUGUUGAAACAGCAGCAGACACGUCACACUUCACAGGUGAUUGUGGUGUGCAACAGCUGGAGAGCAGCAAACAGAGGCGUUGAGCAUGCGGAAGAGACUGGAGGCGGCAGAUGAAGAGACCACAUGAUGAUAUGAGGAAGAUGAAGUCAAGGAGAGCUGUCAGCAACCACCACCACCACCACCACCUCCUCCCUAAACACUCGCGCGCGCACAGAAACAGUGGUGAGGUCAUGGCACGAUCGUCUCACAGGCUUCUGACACUGUGCCACAACAACAGCAUCUCGAGUCCAGGUUGAAAACUAAAGGAAACAGAGUCUUCCAUCUGGAACAACCUCUCCAAGGAAAUAAGAGGAAAAAUUAGUCAGUGUCACUUAAAAACGUGCUUUUAUCAGAAAACUCAUUCUUAUCUGACGUCAUCUCUGUCCUGCUUUCUUGCAACACUUUAACUGAAUCGGUUUCAAUUCUCUGGUGGAAUUUUUUAUUUUUUUAUUUCUACUUCAAUUUCAUAUACUAAGCACUUUAAGAAUCUGAAAAUGUAAAGUGCACGAUAAAUAAAAUAAAUAUGUAUACAUUUAUAAAUAUAAAAAGUUUAGAAACACUGCAUAUCACUGUGCAUACUGUUCUUGUGAGAUGAUGACAUCAUGUGGAAAGUUUCUAAAAAGCGCAGAGAUUAUGGGUUGUGACAUUUUCACUGUACAUUCUUGUGUAUGAAUUGAAAAGUUUCCCAAAUUAUUAUUUUCGAUUAUGUUAACUUUACCCACAAUAAACUACAUGAU
This is a long non-coding RNA of Solea senegalensis (Senegalese sole), 943 nucleotides long. RefSeq lists it as uncharacterized. The record is from RefSeq and is a predicted model, not a curated record. The transcript is spliced from 4 exons. NCBI's taxonomy places the organism in Eukaryota, Metazoa, Chordata, Actinopteri, Pleuronectiformes, Soleidae.